UGCCAGCCGCCGCGGUAAGACGAAGGUGGCAACCGUUGUUCGGAAUCACUGGGCAUAAAGCGCACGUAGGCGGCAAGACAAGUCAGGUGUGAAAUCCCUCGGCCCAACCGAGGAACUGCGCUUGAAACUGUAUUGCUUGAGGGCGGGAGAGGAACGUGGAAUUCCUGGUGGAGCGGUGAAAUGCGUUGAUAUCAGGAGGAACACCGGCGGCGAAGGCGACGUUCUGGCCCGCUUCUGACGCUGAGGUGCGAAAGCCAGGGGAGCAAACGGGAUUAGAUA
This 279-nucleotide ribosomal RNA is filed under the name uncultured bacterium. RNAcentral describes it as "partial 16S ribosomal RNA". It matches the Rfam family "Bacterial small subunit ribosomal RNA", at positions 506 to 784 of the family's 1533-position model. The record is from RNAcentral.